This 72-nucleotide transfer RNA is filed under the name Ictidomys tridecemlineatus (thirteen-lined ground squirrel). RNAcentral's name for it is "Spermophilus tridecemlineatus (thirteen-lined ground squirrel) tRNA". It matches the Rfam family "tRNA". From Rfam's summary of the family: Transfer RNA (tRNA) molecules are approximately 80 nucleotides in length. Their secondary structure includes four short double-helical elements and three loops (D, anti-codon, and T loops). Further hydrogen bonds mediate the characteristic L-shaped molecular structure. tRNAs have two regions of fundamental functional importance: the anti-codon, which is responsible for specific mRNA codon recognition, and the 3' end, to which the tRNAs corresponding amino acid is attached (by aminoacyl-tRNA synthetases). tRNAs cope with the degeneracy of the genetic code in two manners: having more than one tRNA (with a specific anti-codon) for a particular amino acid; and 'wobble' base-pairing, i.e. permitting non-standard base-pairing at the 3rd anti-codon position. Lineage: Eukaryota; Metazoa; Chordata; Mammalia; Rodentia; Sciuridae. The record is from Rfam by way of RNAcentral.
GGGGUUGUAGCUCAGAGGUACAGCACUUGCCUUGCAUUUGUGAGGAAAUGGGUUUGAUUCUCAUCAAACCCA